RNAcentral lists this ribosomal RNA (510 nucleotides) under Triticum aestivum (bread wheat). Its description in RNAcentral is "partial small subunit ribosomal RNA". Lineage: Eukaryota; Viridiplantae; Streptophyta; Magnoliopsida; Poales; Poaceae. The record is from RNAcentral.
AUGGAUUUGGUGGACUGCAGGACCGUGGUGAUGAAAGAGGUGAACGACAACGAGCUACCAUUGGAGCCGCAGCUCUACCCAGCUUUGGCGACAGGAACCGAAGAACUGCCCCCAAUGGCCACCGGUAGCAUUGGCGGGCAGAUAUGUGCGGCGGAUGUGGUAGCCGGAGCCGAGGGGGAUGAUGAACCGCAAGCAUCUGAGCAAUCUAUAGGUCAAAUUGAUCCAAAAACUCCUGGCUGGUCUCGCAAGGUCAGAAUUGGAGCUGUUGCUCCGGAGAGGGCACCUUGCCAUGGACGGCCCAGCGCCCUUGAGAAGACAAUUCACGGAUUCACUCAGAAGCGAGGUGACAUUGUAAUUGUGCCUGCAUUGGGCACAAGCUUUGAUACACUCGGUGAAGCCUAUGAUUUCUACAACCUUUACUCGUGGGAGAAGGGGUUUGGAAUAAGGUACGGGAAGAGUAGACUGAAUGUGGAGAGUACAAAGGGCAUGCAAGAAACUGUUUGUGGCUAA